This 200-nucleotide unclassified non-coding RNA is filed under the name soil metagenome. RNAcentral's name for it is "partial contains internal transcribed spacer 2 and large subunit ribosomal RNA". The record is from RNAcentral.
CCUGUUCGAGCGUCAUUAUGACCAAUCAAGCUCUGCUUGGCCUUGGGGCCCGCUGUACCGGCGGCCCUUAAAAUCAGUGGCGGUGCGUCGGGCCCUGAGCGCAGUAAAUAUCCUCGCUACAGGGACCCGGUGGACGCUGGCCAUCAACCUCACUUUUCAAGUUUGACCUCGGAUCAGGUAGGGAUACCCGCUGAACUUAA